GACUUUGCCUUUUUCGUCGGGGUUUGGGGGUUUAGGGACGGAAGCGAAGAGACCACUGCCCAACGCCGCGGCCGCUGCUCCGUGACUCGUUCUACCGCUCGAGCCGCGACUCUGCUAGAGAAGGUGCUGCGGACGAGUGAAGGCUGGGUAGUAGGCGGCGUCGGAGGAACAAGGCGGCGAGGAAGGACAGGCCUCUCCCGCGCCCCCUCUCACGCCUGCUGAAACUCUUUGCAGACAAACUCAGUCUACUGUUCAGUAAGAAGCUCUUCGAGCUACCCCAGCCCUCGAGGAAACCUUCUGUGCCGUGGCCGAGACCUUACCCACGAAAACCAGCCGGGCUCAAACCAGUCGCAUCAUCAUUACCACCCAAGUACCUGCCAAAACUAAGGAACUUGCUACCGUACUUGCUCUUCAACCUGCUGCGACGGGCGUGGAAAGUAUACUGCCUCCUCCAACUCCUACUACUGAUGCUAAAGUCCGGCCUACACUUAAUGUCCGCACCGAGCUGAAUGUUACAGGCCCUAGAACUGGAAUGUUCUGGACGUCGGGGUUCCUUAGGAGGUUCUGGAGUCAAACUUUGCAGAUGUUUCCUCCAAAAUUCCUUUCGGCUAAAAUCCUUACAAUCUAAGGAGAGGUUGAAAGAAUGUCUUCGACCGUAAUAGUAGUUCUCCUUAGUCUGGUUCUAUUCGCGCUUUCGAGUCGCGUUCCAACGCUCCCUCUAAUUCUGUCGCGCACGCGACCCUGACUACGGAAAGUGCUGCUACCCGUUCUUCGGCAAGUACAAACCGUCUUCACGUCUCCUCCUACGAAGUCUCCUCCUCAUACCCAUGCUGAAGCAGCUCUUCCUACGACCCGGACUUCUACGGCAACGGCUACGGCUACGGCACGGGCUACACCUCCGGCGCAUUUGUCACACCCGCAACAGCGGAGAUGUUCGAGCGGGUUAAACGUUUGACGUCUACAGAUUUUUACGUCGCCGGCUGCUGAAUUCCUAUAACACUGCUUGACAAUGAAACAAGAAACAAGACUUCCUCUAUACGGAACACGAGUCAAUAGGAGUAAAAGUCCAAGCGGAAACUUUCUCUUACACGCCUUGUGUAUUAUUCGUAUACGAGCAAAACGAAUACCAAAGUCUUCCUCUAUACGGAAAACGGG
This 1155-nucleotide ribosomal RNA is filed under the name Triticum aestivum (bread wheat). RNAcentral's name for it is "partial small subunit ribosomal RNA". Lineage: Eukaryota; Viridiplantae; Streptophyta; Magnoliopsida; Poales; Poaceae. The record is from RNAcentral.